RNAcentral lists this ribosomal RNA (329 nucleotides) under uncultured eukaryote. RNAcentral's name for it is "partial 18S ribosomal RNA". It matches the Rfam family "Eukaryotic small subunit ribosomal RNA", at positions 1470 to 1796 of the family's 1831-position model. The record is from RNAcentral.
CCCUUAGAUGUCCUGGGCCGCACGCGCGCUACAAUGACUCACUCAGAAAGUUUUUCCUGAUCCGGAAGGAUUCGGGUAAUCUUCAUAGCAUGAGUCGUGUUAGGGAUCGAUCUUUGCAAUUAUAGAUCUUGAACGAGGAAUGCCUAGUAAGUGCAGCUCAUCAGGCUGUACUGAUUACGUCCCUGCCCUUUGUACACACCGCCCGUCGCUCCUACCGAUUGAACGUUCCGAUGAAUACCAUGGAUUGAGAGUCUGGAUGGGUUCGCCUAUUUCUGCUUCUCGAGAAGUGGAGUAAAUCUUAGCGUUUAGAGGAAGGAGAAGUCGUAACA